CACGCCGUAAACGAUGAGUGCUAGGUGUUAGGGGGUUUCCGCCCCUUAGUGCUGAAGUUAACGCAUUAAGCACUCCGCCUGGGGAGUACGGCCGCAAGGCUGAAACUCAAAAGAAUUGACGGGGGCCCGCACAAGCGGUGGAGCAUGUGGUUUAAUUCGAAGCAACGCGAAGAACCUUACCAGGUCUUGACAUCCUCUGACCACCCUAGAGAUAGGGAUUUCCCUUCGGGGACAGAGUGACAGGUGG
RNAcentral lists this ribosomal RNA (247 nucleotides) under uncultured Bacillaceae bacterium. Its description in RNAcentral is "partial 16S ribosomal RNA". It matches the Rfam family "Bacterial small subunit ribosomal RNA", at positions 796 to 1041 of the family's 1533-position model. The record is from RNAcentral. Lineage: Bacteria; Bacillati; Bacillota; Bacilli; Caryophanales; Bacillaceae.